Molecule: long non-coding RNA, 308 nt
Organism: Bubalus bubalis (water buffalo)
Lineage: Eukaryota; Metazoa; Chordata; Mammalia; Artiodactyla; Bovidae
Exons: 2
Source: RefSeq, a predicted model, not a curated record
GUAGCCCGCCAGCUCCUCUGUCCCUGGGAUUCUCCAGGCAAGAUACUGGAGAGGUUGCAGGGGACACGGGUUGGAUCCCUGGUCUGGGAAGAUCCCACGUGCCUGGGCAACAGAGCCCCCAGUCGGCAACUGCUGAAGGCGCGGAGCCUAGACCCUGAACCCUGCAACAGAAGAAGCCUCCGCAGCGAGAGGCCUGCGGCUGCAACUAGAGAGUAGCCCUUGCUGGCCACAAGUAGAGAAAGCCCGUGUGCAGCAACAAAGACCCGGCGCGCCCCAAAAUACAUAAAUAAACAAUAAAAUAAAGAAGG